GACGAACGCUGGCGGCGUGCCUAAUACAUGCAAGUUGAGCGAUGAAGAUUGGUGCUUGCACCAAUUUGAAGAGCAGCGAACGGGUGAGUAACGCGUGGGGAAUCUGCCUUUGAGCGGGGGACAACAUUUGGAAACGAAUGCUAAUACCGCAUAACAACUUUAAACAUAAGUUUUAAGUUUGAAAGAUGCAAUUGCAUCACUGAAAGAUGAUCCCGCGUUGUAUUAGCUAGUUGGUGAGGUAAAGGCUCACCAAGGCGAUGAUACAUAGCCGACCUGAGAGGGUGAUCGGCCACAUUGGGACUGAGACACGGCCCAAACUCCUACGGGAGGCAGCAGUAGGGAAUCUUCGGCAAUGGACGAAAGUCUGACCGAGCAACGCCGCGUGAGUGAAGAAGGUUUUCGGAUCGUAAAACUCUGUUGGUAGAGAAGAACGUUGGUGAGAGUGGAAAGCUCAUCAAGUGACGGUAACUACCCAGAAAGGGACGGCUAACUACGUG
RNAcentral lists this ribosomal RNA (497 nucleotides) under uncultured bacterium. Its description in RNAcentral is "partial 16S ribosomal RNA". It matches the Rfam family "Bacterial small subunit ribosomal RNA", at positions 28 to 507 of the family's 1533-position model. The record is from RNAcentral.